Molecule: non-coding RNA, 27 nt
Filed under: Cricetulus griseus (Chinese hamster)
Lineage: Eukaryota; Metazoa; Chordata; Mammalia; Rodentia; Cricetidae
Source: RNAcentral
UCUGCAGCUCGUUUCUGAAAUGAUGGA